Molecule: non-coding RNA, 1130 nt
Organism: Carlito syrichta (Philippine tarsier)
Lineage: Eukaryota; Metazoa; Chordata; Mammalia; Primates; Tarsiidae
Source: the annotation of a RefSeq genome assembly
AUGACAGCCCCCUACCAGGUAUCCCCAGCCAACCCCAAUGUCUUCCCACUGAGUACCCGGAGUGUCUCACAGAGCACCCGGAGCACCCGCAGCGCCAAGUCAGAGGGGAACGUGGUCGUCGGCUGCCUGGUCCGGGGCUUCUUCCCCUCGGAGCCACUGAGUGUGAACUGGAGCCACAGCGGGGAGGGCACCACCGUCAGGAACUUCCCACCAGUCCAGACGGGGGGUCUGUACACCAUGAGCAGCCUGCUGACCCUUCCGGCCACCCAGUGCCCAGAAGACACAUCUCUGCAGUGCCACGUUCAGCACUACUCGCACGCUGCCCAGCAUGUGCACGUGUCCUGCAAGUCCCAACCCCCAGUUCCUCCGUGUCCGCCAUGUCCCUCAUGUGACCGGCCCCAACUGUCGCUGCGCAAGCCGGCCCUCGAGGACUUGCUCCUGGGUGCAGAAGCAAACCUCACUUGCACACUAAGUGGCCUGAAAGACCCCAAGGACGCUGCCUUCACUUGGCAGCCCUCAGGAGGGAAGGAUGCCAUCCAGGGGGAACCCGUGCGUGAUGCCUACGGCUGCUACAGCGUGUCCAGCGUCCUGCCCGGCUGUGCCGAGCCAUGGAACAGUGGGGAAACCUUCACAUGCACCGCCACUCACCCCGAGUCCAAGACCCCACAGAUCGCCACCAUCGCCAAGACCCAAGACAAAUCCCAGCCCCAGGUCCACAUUCUGCCACCGCCAUCAGAGGAAAUGGCCCUGAACGAGAUGAUAUCGCUGACCUGCCUGGUGCGUGGCUUCAGCCCCAAGGAAGUGCUUAUACGCUGGCAGUGCAAUUCCGAGGAGCUGCCCCCUGAGAGCUAUGUGACCUGGAGCCCCGUGCCCGAGUCCAGCACAGGCACCCCGACCUUUGCAGUGACCAGCGUGCUGCGCGUGCCAGCCAAGUCCUGGAAGAAUGGGGACAACUUCAGCUGCAUGGUGGGCCACGAGGCCCUGCCCCUGGCCUUCACGCAGAAGUCCAUAGACCGCCUGACGGGUAAACCCUCCCACGUCAACGUGUCCGUGGUCCUGAUGGAGGGAGAUGGUGUCUGCUACUGAACCUCCCCGCCCACCCCCAGCCCUGAAUAAACUCCAUACUGGCC